GACGAACGCUGGCGGCGCGCCUAACACAUGCAAGUCGAACGAGCGAGAGAGAGUUUGCUUUCUCGAGCGAGUGGCGAACGGGUGAGUAACGCGUGAGGAACCUGCCUCAAAGAGGGGGACAACAGUUGGAAACGACUGCUAAUACCGCAUAAGCCCACAGCUCGGCAUCGAGCAGAGGGAAAAGGAGUGAUCCGCUUUGAGAUGGCCUCGCGUCCGAUUAGGUAGUUGGUGGGGUAACGGCCUACCAAGCCGACGAUCAGUAGCCGACCUGAGAGGGUGACCGGCCACAUUGGGACUGAGACACGGCCCAAACUCCUACGGGAGGCAGCAGUGGGGAAUAUUGCACAAUGGGGGAAACCCUGAUGCAGCGACGCCGCGUGAGCGAUGAAGUAUUUCGGUAUGUAAAGCUCUAUCAGCAGGGAAGAAAAUGACGGUACCUGACUAAGAAGCCCCGGCUAACUACGUGCCAGCAGCCGCGGUAAUACGUAGGGGGCAAGCGUUAUCCGGAUUUACUGGGUGUAAAGGGAGCGUAGACGGCAUGGCAAGCCAGAUGUGAAAGCCCGGGGCUCAACCCCGGGACUGCAUUUGGAACUGUCAGGCUAGAGUGUCGGAGAGGAAAGCGGAAUUCCUAGUGUAGCGGUGAAAUGCGUAGAUAUUAGGAGGAACACCAGUGGCGAAGGCGGUCUGCUGGACAGCAACUGACGCUGAGGCGCGAAAGCGUGGGGAGCANACAGG
RNAcentral lists this ribosomal RNA (735 nucleotides) under uncultured bacterium. RNAcentral describes it as "bacterial SSU rRNA". It matches the Rfam family "Bacterial small subunit ribosomal RNA", at positions 28 to 776 of the family's 1533-position model. The record is from RNAcentral.